This 195-nucleotide ribosomal RNA is filed under the name uncultured Thauera sp. RNAcentral's name for it is "partial 16S ribosomal RNA". It matches the Rfam family "Bacterial small subunit ribosomal RNA", at positions 1188 to 1382 of the family's 1533-position model. Lineage: Bacteria; Pseudomonadati; Pseudomonadota; Betaproteobacteria; Rhodocyclales; Zoogloeaceae. The record is from RNAcentral.
GUACUCCAUGGCCCCUAUGGGUAGGGCUUCACACGUCAUACAAUGGUCGGUACAGAGGGUUGCCAAGCCGCGAGGUGGAGCCAAUCCCUUAAAGCCGAUCGUAGUCCGGAUCGUAGUCUGCAACUCGACUACGUGAAGUCGGAAUCGCUAGUAAUCGCAGAUCAGCAUGCUGCGGUGAAUACGUUCCCGGGUCUU